Small nuclear RNA from Macaca mulatta (Rhesus monkey), 107 nucleotides. Lineage: Eukaryota; Metazoa; Chordata; Mammalia; Primates; Cercopithecidae. The record is from Ensembl.
GUGCUCGCUUUGGCAGUACAUAUACUAACAUUGGAACAAUACAGAGAAGAUUAGCAUGGCCCCUGCACAAGGACAACAUGCAAAUUCGUGAAGCGUUCCAUAUUUUU